This is a small nuclear RNA of Ailuropoda melanoleuca (giant panda), 107 nucleotides long. Lineage: Eukaryota; Metazoa; Chordata; Mammalia; Carnivora; Ursidae. The record is from Ensembl.
GUGCUCACUUCGGCAGCACACAUAUUAAAAUUGGAAUGAUACAAAGGAGAUUAAAGUGGCCCCUGCACAAGGGAUACAUCGGAAAGGAGGACACAGCCCCUGACUAU